RNAcentral lists this long non-coding RNA (2704 nucleotides) under Homo sapiens (human). RNAcentral's name for it is "HSALNT0319602". The record is from RNAcentral. Lineage: Eukaryota; Metazoa; Chordata; Mammalia; Primates; Hominidae.
CGCGCCGCCUCUCUGGUUUGUGCGCCCGUCGCAGGUCGCAGGCCUCUUUGUCAGCUGGAGUUGCGCGGGCUGACGCGCCACUAUGUAGCGGGUUUCGGGCGGGCCACGCGUGCGGGACAGGAACCCAACCCCAGCCGACCUUGAGCUCCAGGAGUUCGUCUCUUACGUCUGCGGAAGUGCAGCUGCCUCAGUUCUUAGCGCAGGUUGACAACUACAGGCACAAGCCAUUGAAGCUGGAAUGUCCUGUUGCUGGUAUUUCAAUUGACUUAAGCCAACUAUCCCUUCAGUUACAAUAGGAAAGUGCCUCUAAUAAGGCCAAAUAUGCGUACUAACUUGUAGCAACCACGUGUCCGUGCAGUGCCACAGGAGCUAGAGCAGUGACAAUGCUGGUGGCAACAGGGCAGUGUAGCAGGUGCUUCAUGUUCACCUUUUCAACCUUUUCAUUUAAUUGUCACAACUCGGAGGUGGAUUCUGUUAGGGACAGGCUGCCCCAGGACCACUCCGCCCCCGCUAACUCAAUGCAGCUGACCCUUACCCUGAAUACUCUGCAGCUGCAUUCCUGAACCGUUAUCUAGGCGCUAUAGCAAGGUCACCAGACUUGCUACACCGAAGCCCUCUGGGUGGCACGGGGGAGGUCAUGAGAAACGUGGAUUACACCCCCUUGUAAAUUCCUAUUUUCACAAGAUAAUAUAUUGUAAGCCGGUCAUGAGAUUAUAUGUGGUAAAGUUAAUUGACUAACAACCCCAGGGUCUCUCUCCCCCAUAUAAACCCCUCAUUUUGUAAGCUCAGGGCUGCCACCUCCGACUGGUGGAGAAGCCUGGCAGGUUAAUAAACUUACUUGGCCUGACCUUGGGUCUCUUGUCUUUUCUCUCGGCUAACCUUACAGAUUCUAUUCUCCCAUUUCACAGGUAAAGAAAUGGAUUAGUGAUAACUCAAGUUUCAUCACCUAUAUUAAUAUAAUUAGAUUAAGGAUCUCAGGAUGGGGAGAUUACCUUGGAUAAUCCUAGUGGGCCCUAAAUGCGAUCACAAGUUCCCUCAUGAGAGGGAGGCUGAGGGAUAUCCACACACAGCAGAUUGGAAGAUGCUGGCCUUGAAGAUCAGAGUGAGGCAGCCCCCAGGAGCUGGGAGAUGCCAAGGAACACAUUCCCCAUCAGAGCCUCCUGAGGAGCAUCAUUUGAUUUGGCUCAGUGAAACUGAUUUCUGACUUCUGGCCUUCAGAACUGAGAAUAAAUUGCUGUUUUAAGCCACCAAGUUAUAAUUUGUUACAGCAGCCUCUAAGAUCACAAAUAUAGCUGGGGCAAGAACCCCACCACCUCAGCCUUCCUCCCUUGUUUUUAUUAGUGCCGUGUGGGUGGUUGGGAGUAGAUCCUAUGUAUAUUCAUUAGUCCUUUUUAUUUUAUUUUAUUUUAUUGAGAGAGUCUCACUCUGUCGCCCAGGCUGGAGUGCAGUGGCGCGAUCUCGGCUCACUGCAAGCUCCGCCUCCUGGGUUCAUGCUGUUCUCCUGCCUCAGCCUCCCGAGAGCUGGGACUACAGGCGCCCGCCACCACGCCCGGCUACUUUUUUGUAUUUUUAGUAGAGACGGGUUUUCACCGUGUUAGCCAGGGUGGUUUCGAUCUCCUGACCUUGUGAUGCACCUGCCUCAGCCUCCCAAAGUGCUGGGAUUACAGGCAUGAGCCACCGCGCCCGGCCCAUUAGUCAUUUUUUAAAGGUAUAACCAUGAAUUUAAAAUGUAUUUAGACUUUAAUCUUGAGAUACAUGAGCAUGUGCAUGUGGCUAAAAUAUGUGGGGUCAGCACAUACCUCCUAAUAAAGCAUUGUGAAAAGUAAGGAAUCAAUUUAUGGUUUAUUGGAAAGUCACUUAUGCACACUUGUAUUUAUACAGCACAAGACACCACAUUUUAAAAAUUCAAUAACUGAAGCAAAUUAAGACAAUAGGAAAAGCAUUCUAAUUAUAAUUUUUGCCCUGCGGGCUGUACAGCUUCAGCCAGCAGUGUCCUGGAGGUAAUACAAACUGCUAAAGUGAGAUAAUGUUUUCAUAAACCUCAGUUUUGGUUUGUGUUUUAAGAAAUGUAAACUUGAAUCUCGGCAAGAGAAGGUUCUCAAAAUUUGGCACAAAGGGAGCAUCUGUCAGCCUAUUAGGUGUUUUUGGUGUAUGAAACAUGAGAUGUAAAAGAGGACUUAAAAGGACAUAAUAGUACUAGUGUCCUUUAAAAAUAUAUAUAUAUAUAUAUCAGCUAGGCACAGCCUGUAAUCCCAGCUCUUUGGGAGGCUGAGGCAUGGGGACCGCUUGAGGCCAGGAGUUCGAGACCAGCCUGAGCAACAAAGCAAGACCCCAUCUCUACAAAAAGCCAAAAACUUAGCUGGGCACAGUCAUCUAAUCUACUUGGGAGGCUGAGGAGGGAGGAUGGCUUGAGCCCACAAGUUCAAGGCUGCAGUGAGACAUGACUCACUGCUCUCCAGCCUGGGCAACAGCAAGACCCUGACUCCAGAAAAGUAGUAUGACUAAUGAAACCAGUCUUCCCAGGGUCAGCUACCACAAGGCUCUGACUUAAGUCCUUGCCACUAGGUUGCAAUAAUACUAAUUCUGAAUUACGGGAUACUACACUUAAACAGCACUAUACUAGAGACUGAGAAGGAAAUUGGGGCAAAGAACCUAAGUUUUUUAAUGAGAAGUUCAUAUUGAACUCAAAUUUAUUAUGUGAUGG